Molecule: ribosomal RNA, 253 nt
Filed under: uncultured bacterium
Lineage: Bacteria
Description: partial 16S ribosomal RNA
Rfam family: Bacterial small subunit ribosomal RNA
Source: RNAcentral
UACGGAGGGUGCAAGCGUUAUCCGGAUUCACUGGGUUUAAAGGGUGCGUAGGUGGGUUGGUAAGUCAGUGGUGAAAUCUCCAGGCCUAACUUGGAAACUGCCAUUGAUACUAUCAAUCUUGAAUACCGUGGAGGUCAGCGGAAUAUGUCAUGUAGCGGUGAAAUGCUUAGAUAUGACAUAGAACACCAAUUGCGAAGGCAGCUGGCUACACGAAUAUUGACACUGAUGCACGAAAGCGUGGGGAUCAAACAGG